This 253-nucleotide ribosomal RNA is filed under the name uncultured bacterium. RNAcentral's name for it is "partial 16S ribosomal RNA". It matches the Rfam family "Bacterial small subunit ribosomal RNA", at positions 524 to 776 of the family's 1533-position model. The record is from RNAcentral.
UACGUAGGGUGCGAGCGUUGUCCGGAAUUAUUGGGCGUAAAGGGCUCGUAGGCGGUCUGUCGCGUCGGGAGUGAAAACUCAGGGCUUAACCCUGAGCCUGCUUCCGAAACUGCCCGACUAGAGGUAGGUAGGGGAGAUCGGAAUUCCUGGUGUAGCGGUGAAAUGCGCAGAUAUCAGGAGGAACACCGGUGGCGAAGGCGGUGGUCUGGGCCGGCACUGACGCUGAGGAGCGAAAGCGUGGGGAGCAAACAGG